This 328-nucleotide long non-coding RNA is filed under the name Calidris pygmaea (Spoon-billed sandpiper). RNAcentral describes it as "lncRNA (ENSCPGG00000008786.1)". Lineage: Eukaryota; Metazoa; Chordata; Aves; Charadriiformes; Scolopacidae. The record is from RNAcentral.
UGGAGAACUUGCAGAGAUAAGCAAAGCAGAAGCUUUUCCAUUAAAACUUACAUUUGUCCCAGCUGCCACACGAUCAUUACACCGAUAAAAAUCAAAGCCAGCUGGACUGGGAGCAAGACAGCCUAUGUAGGCUAAAGAAUUUGCUGAAGGUCACGUAACCUGAGGCCAAGCUGGAUCUUGUGACUCCCAGGCUGGUGCUUUGAUCCGGGACCCCUCCUGCUGUACAUGCUGUAAGACAAACCGAUUUUGAUACAACUAAAUAUCUCUUUGCAGUUUUGUGUAUGUUCUUUUCCUGGUGUGAGUUAUCUGAGUAGUGCCCUGUGGGGAG